UACAGAGGUGGCAAGCGUUGUUCAGAAUUACUGGGCGUAAAGGGCGCGUAGGCGGUCUUGUAAGUCUCGUGUGAAAUCCCUCGGCUUAACUGAGGAACUGCACGGGAUACUGCAUGACUUGAGAUCGGGAGAGGGAAGCGGAAUUCCGGGUGUAGCGGUGAAAUGCGUAGAUAUCCGGAGGAACACCGGUGGCGAAGGCGGCUUCCUGGACCGACACUGACGCUGAGGCGCGAAAGCUAGGGGAGCAAACGGG
Molecule: ribosomal RNA, 253 nt
Filed under: uncultured bacterium
Lineage: Bacteria
Description: partial 16S ribosomal RNA
Rfam family: Bacterial small subunit ribosomal RNA
Source: RNAcentral